ACAUGGCUUCGACAGUGAGCAGAUAGGUUUUGGGGCGACACGUCAGGCGAUCGACGUAAAUGAAGCAAGCAUGUAAAUGCAAACGAUGAAAACUACGCUUUAGCGGCCUAAAAAACCGUAAGCCGGGGCUGUUGAGCCUUGUCAUACAACACAACUAGAUGGGCCCCGGGUGAUAAUGAUCCCGGGGCUCA
Molecule: transfer-messenger RNA, 191 nt
Filed under: Gallionella sp.
Lineage: Bacteria; Pseudomonadati; Pseudomonadota; Betaproteobacteria; Nitrosomonadales; Gallionellaceae
Description: partial transfer-messenger RNA
Rfam family: Betaproteobacteria transfer-messenger RNA
About the family: Bacterial tmRNA, also known as 10Sa RNA or SsrA, is named for its dual tRNA and mRNA-like properties.
Source: RNAcentral